CACGUAUUUAGCCGUUCCUUUCUGGUAAGAUACCGUCACACACUGAACAGUUACUCUCAGCGCCGUUCUUCUCUUAUAACAGUGUUUUACGAGCCGAAACCCUUCAUCACACACGCGGCGUUGCUCCAUCAGGCUUGCGCCCAUUGUGGAAGAUUCCCUACUGCUGCCUCCCGUAGGAGUAUGGGCCGUGUCUCAGUCCCAUUGUGGCCGAUCAGUCUCUCAACUCGGCUAUGCAUCAUUGCCUUGGUAAGCCAUUACCUUACCAACUAGCUAAUGCACCGCGGGUCCAUCUCUUAGUGAUAGCAGACCAUCUUUCAAUCAACAACCAUGCGGUUGUUGAUUGUUAUACGGUAUUAGCACUUGUUUCCAAAUGUUAUCCCCUGCUAAGAGGUAGGUUACCCACGUGUUACUCACCCGUUCGCCACUCUUGAAUCAAAAAUCAAAUCAGAGCAAGCUGUCAUCUACAAUUAAGCACAAAGCGUUACGACUUUACG
This 494-nucleotide ribosomal RNA is filed under the name uncultured Weissella sp. RNAcentral's name for it is "partial 16S ribosomal RNA". Lineage: Bacteria; Bacillati; Bacillota; Bacilli; Lactobacillales; Lactobacillaceae. The record is from RNAcentral.